UUAAAUUGAAGAGUUUGAUCAUGGCUCAGAUUGAACGCUGGCGGCAGGCCUAACACAUGCAAGUCGAACGGUAACAGGAAGAAGCUUGCUUCUUUGCUGACGAGUGGCGGACGGGUGAGUAAUGUCUGGGAAACUGCCUGAUGGAGGGGGAUAACUAC
Molecule: ribosomal RNA, 158 nt
Filed under: Escherichia coli
Lineage: Bacteria; Pseudomonadati; Pseudomonadota; Gammaproteobacteria; Enterobacterales; Enterobacteriaceae
Description: partial 16S ribosomal RNA
Rfam family: Bacterial small subunit ribosomal RNA
Source: RNAcentral